This is a non-coding RNA of Cucurbita pepo subsp. pepo (vegetable marrow), 1481 nucleotides long. Lineage: Eukaryota; Viridiplantae; Streptophyta; Magnoliopsida; Cucurbitales; Cucurbitaceae. The record is from RefSeq and is a predicted model, not a curated record.
CCCUCUUUUACAGAAAUGUGGAAGAGAGGUAUAAUCCAUUAUCUGCAAGAAAUAGAGAAUAAUUAAAGCAUCAUCACUUUGCAUAUGGCCUUACCUUCAACAGCUCAUCUCUCCCGCAGCCUGACAGGUGUUGAAGGAAAAAUUAUUUCAACACUCAAGGUACAAAAUCAACCAAGAUCAGUCUCUUCAAUGGUUUACCUUCCAACAGGAUGAAAAGACGUAAGGAACUGCAGAAACAUGAGACAUUACCGGUUGCAUGAUCAUUAGAGAUUUGGGAAAUCCUUGAUUUGCUAGUCAUAAAUUGCAUAUUUAAGGUAGUGAUGGGCCUUCCAUACUUUUUUGAUGCAGAAGGCUACAGCAAAAUGUACGUGUUAAUGAUACUAGGAGAGAAGCUUCUUUUGAAUCCUAGAAUUCAGAAACUCACCAGAAUAACACGAUCUCGAUACUCAUUGAUUUGUAUGUGCGACUGCACAUAAUCAUGCACCUGUGAAGAGAUCAAAACACCGAACUUGCAGGUCGCAUACAGAAGAUGGAGGAUAGAAGAAGAAGAAGAAAGCUGGCGAACCUGAAAGGAUUUCUUCGAUGAGUGAUCAACUGCAGGGCUUGAAACUCAAGGUUGAAAACCAGCUCAGGUACGAGAAUGACGAUGCUAGAAUACAAGAAGAGCCCGGACAAGAAAGUGAACCUAAGAUCUCGCAAGUCACAACCUUUAGAGGCCAGGCUGCUGUUUAAAUACCAAAGGGGUCUCACACGGACUCGCCCUUCUUUAUGGCCCUGUCCUUCUCAAUGCCUGUUAAGCUCACGCAAAAGUCAUCAGUGUCUUGUGGGAAUCUCACUAAGAACCUUAAAAAAUGAAGCAAAGAAGAGGAAAAAGGAGCUGCUUACAUUCUGAAUGGGUUCUUCGUGUCGACGUUGCUGGCUCUGGUUUGUUUCCCUUUCCAGUUUUCUCUUCCGUAAUUCUUUUCCAGUAUUCUCCACUAAAAUAUAUAUCACAAUCAUACAAUCUCGGCCGUCCAAUGGUCCUUGCAUGUGCCCUUCACCAUUUGAUUUCGGGUUCUUUUCUUCUUCCAUUUGUUCUUUUUAUUCCCAAACACUGUGGCCAGUUAAUUGUGGAAAGCAAAACCGUGGGAACCUUCUUGAAUAGGAAAGGUGCAGGGAAAAUGCCCAUUCCCUUGCUUGUUGGAGCCUAAAGUCAGGAAAUUUGAUAGCUUUAGCGCACAAAUAUGUUGGAGAAAACUUCGUAGAGAUGUUUGAUGGAGUGCCAAAGGUUUGUGAGUCUUGGAUUCUUGAGUUAUUUAGGGACUUUGAAUCAUGUACCAUUUGAGUUUGAGAUUAAGGUAAUAGGUUAGAGAAACUCGGGACUAUCUAUAUAAUUCUCUCUCACACACACACGUAUAUAUAGACCAAAUUAUUAAAUUAAAAAGAUAACUCGGUCUUAUUUGUUUAUUGAAAAUCGAGGAAUGAGAAUAGAAUAUGGGACC